RNAcentral lists this long non-coding RNA (508 nucleotides) under Physcomitrium patens. Its description in RNAcentral is "long non-coding RNA (PPAT_LNC012585)". Lineage: Eukaryota; Viridiplantae; Streptophyta; Bryopsida; Funariales; Funariaceae. The record is from RNAcentral.
UGCCCUUCCAUCUACUAUAGUGAGCUUUUUUGGUCUACCUAUUUUGAGAUUCUUAUUAUUAAAAGUGAUCUUUUCUGCUAGCCUAGAGAUAGUAACUUUAUUGUAGCCAAGUACAAAAGUAAUUUGGCUAUAAGAUUUUUGAAAAUGACGAAGAGUAGAGGUGAUGUUGUCUUGGAGAGAGUGGAGAAUGGAUUUCAUAGUUGUUCAAAGAAUUGUUAAGGAUACGAAUUUGAAAAAGAAAUAUGUUAAGAUUAAAGACAAAGAAUGAGAUUAAUAACAAAAGUGGUUCCAAAGAUUCCUAUUUAUAUUAUAAUGAAGAUUAUAAAAAUCUAUAGUACUUUCUAUGGAAGUUUUUAGAAGUCUAAAGAAGCUUCUAGAAAUCUAAAGAGGCUUCUAGAAGCCUAUUGAACUUUCUAAAAGAUUGUAAAAUAUUUUACAAGUAUUUAGAAGGUUCUAAAAAUUUGUAAAAGAUUCUAAAAGGUCCUAGAAUAUGGUAAGAUGGAAUAUG